CCGCUCGUGAGCCAAUUGGCUGCCGCGAGUCAGUCGAACCGGCCAAUGGCGGCGCGGCGCCAGUUAAAAAGCGGCGCCGUGGGGUCGCGGGGCCUUUGAGGAGUCAGAGGUGUGCGUCGGGUAUUUGGGAACACGGGGCGGGCGGUGCCGCCGGCAGGGUAGUGAGGGUGUCCCGCCGUGCCGCCGGCAGGGUGAGUGAGGGUGUCCCGCCGGUGCGCCGGGCCCAGGGGUGAGUGAGGGUGUCCCGCCGGUGCCGCCGGCCCAGGGGUGAGUGAGGGUGUCCCGGCCGGUGCCGCCGGGCCCAGGGGUGAGUGAGGGUGUCCCGCCGGUGCCACCGGGCCCAGGGGUGAAUGAGGGUGUCCGGGCGGUGCCGCUGGGCCCGGGGGUGUCCGGGCAGUGCGAAAUAGGGGUUUGUUCCCCCUCAUCUAGGGACUAGUACCUGACAGCUCCGUUGGCUUUAAUGUAGCUUGCCUAAAUAGUGUGCUGUGAUGGAGGAAAUGACAAAAAUUACUUCUUCUUUUUCCUAUAUGAACUUUACAGGGUGGUCCAUCAACUUGAAGAUGGCAGCUGUGAUCUCUGUUGGUGCAGACAAUGUUGCUCCUGAGAGCCAGCUGCUGAUCUCUCCACGGUCUUCAAAAGGAAAGAGCACACACUCUAGAGGAGUAGUUUGCACUCCACUUCAUAAAAAAGCAUUCUCACCUGCAGCCAUGACUUGCUCUAGGAGAAAGGCUCUUGGUAAAAAAGCAAUCACUACUGCAGCCAUGUCUCACUCUGGGGGAAAGGCUCUUGGUAAAAAAGUAAACACUGUACCUGAAGGCACAUAUCAGCCUUUGAGAAAGGCUCUUGGAAAGGUGAAUACAACUACAGGAGUCACGAGCAAGAUGCCUGAGGUAAAGCAGGAAAAUCAGCCCCAGGUGAAGCAGGAAAAUCAGCCUCGCACUGCAAACAAAGCUGAUGAAAAGACUGAAUUAGACAGCUGGACUUCAGAGUCUGAUGAAGAUUUGGUAGAGUGUAAAGAAGAAGACUGGGCUGAGUCUCAAGAAGAUUGGCCAGAAGUAGAAAAUAUGUUUCAUUUUGAUCCUCAAGACUUUGAGGUCUUUGAUGUUCCUGAGGAGUGCAAACUAAGCAAUCUGGACCUGCGUGGUGUUCCCCUCAUGGUAUAUCCAAGGACAUACCACAGAUGUGUAGAGGAGGAGCCAACACCUCUUCCCACUCCAGAGCUGUCGUUUACACCCAGCUUGCUGCAAGCACAUUUUGACUUCAUUGCUAGCCUGGAAAAACUACACUUCCCUGAGCUGCCACCAUUUCCAGCUGACUUUUAUGAGGAGCAGGAAUGUUGUAACAGGUUUUAAAUUUCAUGUAGUUCUGUAUUUUAAUAAAGGCUAAUCUAACAUGCA
This 1397-nucleotide long non-coding RNA is filed under the name Manacus vitellinus (golden-collared manakin). RNAcentral describes it as "lncRNA (ENSMVIG00005010127.1)". Lineage: Eukaryota; Metazoa; Chordata; Aves; Passeriformes; Pipridae. The record is from RNAcentral.